This 427-nucleotide ribosomal RNA is filed under the name uncultured bacterium. RNAcentral describes it as "partial 16S ribosomal RNA". It matches the Rfam family "Bacterial small subunit ribosomal RNA", at positions 355 to 774 of the family's 1533-position model. The record is from RNAcentral.
UGGGGAAUAUUGCACAAUGGGCGCAAGCCUGAUGCAGCCAUGCCGCGUGUAUGAAGAAGGCCUUCGGGUUGUAAAGUACUUUCAGCGUGGAGGAAGGCGAUAAGGUUAAUAACCUUGUCGAUUGACGUUACCCGCAGAAGAAGCACCGGCUAACUCCGUGCCAGCAGCCGCGGUAAUACGGAGGGUGCAAGCGUUAAUCGGAAUUACUGGGCGUAAAGCGCACGCAGGCGGUCUGUCAAGUCGGAUGUGAAAUCCCCGGGCUCAACCUGGGAACUGCAUUCGAAACUGGCAGGCUAGAGUCUUGUAGAGGGGGGUAGAAUUCCAGGUGUAGCGGUGAAAUGCGUAGAGAUCUGGAGGAAUACCGGUGGCGAAGGCGGCCCCCUGGACAAAGACUGACGCUCAGGUGCGAAAGCGUGGGGAGCAAACA